AGCAGCCGCGGUAAUUCCAGCUCCAAUAGUGUAUAUUAAAGUUGUUGCAGUUAAAAAGCUCGUAGUUGAAUUUCGGGAUUCUAUCGUUGGUCGGGCUAUUGUCUGUACUGGCGUGUAGAAUUUCUACCUUCUGGGGAACUAUCAUGUUAUUAAUUUAGCGUGGUAGGAAACCAGGACCUUUACCUUGAAAAAUUAGAGUGUUCAAAGCAGGCUUAUGUCUGAAUACAUUAGCAUGGAAUAAUAAAAUAGGACGGUGGUCCUGUUUUGUUGGUUUCUGAAUCACCGUAAUGAUUAAUAGGGAUAGUUGGGGGCAUUAGUAUUCAAUUGUCAGAGGUGAAAUUCUUGGAUUUAUUGAAGACUAACUACUGCGAAAGCAUUUGCCAAGGAUGUUUUCAUUAAUCAAGAACGAAAGUUAGGGGAUCGAAGACGAUCAGAUACCGUCGUAGUCUUAACCAUAAACUAUGCCGACUAGGGAUCGGACGAUGUUAACUUUUCUUGA
Molecule: ribosomal RNA, 499 nt
Filed under: uncultured Scutellospora
Lineage: Eukaryota; Fungi; Glomeromycota; Glomeromycetes; Diversisporales; Gigasporaceae
Description: SSU rRNA
Rfam family: Eukaryotic small subunit ribosomal RNA
Source: RNAcentral